GACGAACGCUGGCGGCGUGCUUAACACAUGCAAGUCGAACGGAAAGGCCCUGCUUUUGUGGGGUGCUCGAGUGGCGAACGGGUGAGUAACACGUGAGUAACCUGCCCUUGACUUUGGGAUAACUUCAGGAAACUGGGGCUAAUACCGGAUAGGAGCUCCUGCUGCAUGGUGGGGGUUGGAAAGUUUCGGCGGUUGGGGAUGGACUCGCGGCUUAUCAGCUUGUUGGUGGGGUAGUGGCUUACCAAGGCUUUGACGGGUAGCCGGCCUGAGAGGGUGACCGGCCACAUUGGGCCUGAGAUACGGCCCAGACUCCUACGGGAGGCAGCAGUGGGGAAUAUUGCACUAUGGGCGGAAGCCUGAUGCAGCAACGCCGCGUGCGGGAUGACGGCCUUCGGGUUGUAAACCGCUUUCGCCUGUGACGAAGCGUGAGUGACGGUAAUGGGUAAAGAAGCACCGGCUAACUACGUG
This 468-nucleotide ribosomal RNA is filed under the name uncultured bacterium. Its description in RNAcentral is "partial 16S ribosomal RNA". It matches the Rfam family "Bacterial small subunit ribosomal RNA", at positions 28 to 507 of the family's 1533-position model. The record is from RNAcentral.